GAACGUCGUGAGACAGUUCGGUCCCUAUCUGCCGUGGGCGUUGGAAGAUUGAGAGGGGUUGCUCCUAGUACGAGAGGACCGGAGUGAACGCACCACUGGUGUUCGGGUUGUCAUGCCAAUGGCAUUGCCCGGUAGCUAAGUGCGGAAAAGAUAAGCGCUGAAAGCAUCUAAGCGCGAAACUUGCCUCAAGAUGAGUCUUCCCUGGACCUUUAAGGUCCCUGAAGGAACGUUUAAGACUAAGACGUUGAUAGGCUGGGUGUGUAAGUGCAGCGAUGCAUUGAGCUAACCAGUACUAAUGAUCCGUGAGGCUUAACCUUACAACACCGAAGGUGUUU
RNAcentral lists this ribosomal RNA (335 nucleotides) under Knoellia aerolata DSM 18566. Its description in RNAcentral is "bacterial LSU rRNA". It matches the Rfam family "Bacterial large subunit ribosomal RNA", at positions 2614 to 2925 of the family's 2925-position model. Lineage: Bacteria; Bacillati; Actinomycetota; Actinomycetes; Micrococcales; Intrasporangiaceae. The record is from RNAcentral.